This 1775-nucleotide long non-coding RNA is filed under the name Olea europaea (common olive). Its description in RNAcentral is "long non-coding RNA (OEUR_LNC005757)". The record is from RNAcentral. Lineage: Eukaryota; Viridiplantae; Streptophyta; Magnoliopsida; Lamiales; Oleaceae.
UGUGAAACAAAGCGAACCUGAGUCAUAAAAUUAGAAGGAAAAAUAAAUCCUUGAUGAAUUUACAUAGCUCAAAAAUAAUGUAUUUGUGUCCAUGAAAUGAAGAGAAAAAAAUGCAUCAAUAUGUGAAUGCAUUGUAAGUAUUAUGCCCUAGGUCCAAUCGACUUUGGACAUAAAUACUUUUAUAUAUAAUUAAUGCAAUUAAAUGGCAGAUCUAUUAUUUAAUUAAUAGACAAUUAAAUAAAUAAUAGAGUCCGUAGAUUCAAAUAUUGUAAUUUGUUAAUCACAAAGAGUUGUGAUUGUGAGAUACAAAUUACAUCUGAUUGAAUCUUAAAUCAUCCGUGGUCGUAAGUAAUAACGAGAUACGGAUAUCGUUAUUACGGAUAGACCAUCACGUGUGGCAUUUCUUACUUGUGAAGUAAGUAGCUGAUCUCACAAGCUAAAGUGUGGUGACACUUAAAUGAACACGUGGAUGUUUUUGUUAUAGAACAAAACAUUGGAGACCCGUCGAGAGAUUCCACAUGGAUAACUAUCUGAGUGUCAGUGGUUAAUCUCUAACGUUCGGUAGUGAAAUUGGUCCUUUUACUUGAGGUCGUCAUGGUACCUUAUAUGAGGAUAGUCAUACUUUGGCGGUGUUGGAUGUUGCUCUGAAAAGGGCCGCUAAUACGACAUCGUUCGGGUACGUCAAGAAUCGUAUGAAGGUUGUGAUUGAUCAAUAAAGGAUUCGUCACUCUUAGAUAGUAGGAGAUUAUGAUCUGCGUUUCAUUCAAUUAAGUCAAUGAUGAAAUCCUUGGCCAAGGUGUACUCAUAAGUCGAAAAGGAGUUUUCGAUUUAUAUUGACUUAAUAGUGGAGUGAAAGAUAUGAUCGAUGAUCGAGAUUGACACAACUCCAUAUCUCGUAAUUGAUCGGAUCAUAUUGACGAAGGGAUUAUAGUUUCACGGUAAACGAACGAAUUUGGUUUUGUCAUACCACGUGACAUUUCCCGUCACAUGUAUUGCCCUGACACAUUGCUAGAUGUCAAUCAGGGACGGCGAAUGUGAAUUGACGAUAAAUUAAAAGGGUGUUUUAAUUUAUCAAUUUUGAUUAGAUCAAAAUAAUAUUUCACGUCGUUAGGCAUCGUGGUCGGGAACCUAAUGGGUUACACACAAAAGAGAAUUGGAAGAUUGCAAAUUGCCAAUUGGUUAAUUUAACAAUCGUUGGAUAAAUUAAUUAAUUGGAUUUGUUAUUUAUAUUUUCGAAUUAAUUAAUUGGAUUAAUUAAUUCACGGACCGGGUUUAAUUAAUUGGAUUAAUUAAUUAUUGGACCGGACCGGGCCGAGCCUAUUUGGGUUUAUAUAAAUACAUAACUAGGGUUUGAGGUCCAUUAAGGUUUUCAUUAUUCUUGCUAGCACAAGAGAAAACCCUAGAGGCUGCAAUCAUGUUCUCUGUGUGGAUCACCGUUGGAGGCUGAACAAUUGGACAGCUGUGGUGGCGAAUCAAAGUUGUGGAACGAAAAGAAAAGCAAAAGGAUUGCAGAUCUGGAAAAGGUACAAUCUUAUCACAAUUCCUAACCAAACACAAUGAGAUCUAUUGGAUGGGAAUCGAAAUAAUUUUUAAAUUCCGCUGUGCAUGUAUAAGUAGAUUCCCAACAUGCAUGACAUCUCUUACUGUAUAACUCAACUUACAAACAUGUCUCUAGUAAGACGAAGGCAGUAAGACAUUACCAGGUCAUCAAGGUCGUCCCAUUUUCUCCAAAAAUCAUAAGGGUUACUUAAAUACCGUUAAUUUUAAGCGCAAAU